This 607-nucleotide small RNA is filed under the name Pongo abelii (Sumatran orangutan). RNAcentral's name for it is "processed transcript". Lineage: Eukaryota; Metazoa; Chordata; Mammalia; Primates; Hominidae. The record is from RNAcentral.
AGGAGUCUGAGACUUUGAAUGAUAGUCUAGUAUUAAGGAACACUGGAUAAUCUUAUAACAAGGGAGACUUCCUUGUCACCAAAGGCCAAACCCCAUGCCUACUUCUGCCAUAUCAAGAUCUCUGGAACAAUGGGACUUCCUGUUUGGGCCAAGGGCAAGUGACUCAAAGUCACACCUUACUGAGGCUUGGCAAAGGCUUCUCUAUUGGUUUCCUCACCUGUGAUACUGCGAGGAGGCUGAGACAACUGAACAGAGUGACGUAACAUCCAGGAAGGGCUUCUCACCCAGUGGUUGUCACAGAAGGGCGGGACGGCCCCUAACAAGGCAGUAAUUCCCUGGAUGACUUUCAGUUUGACCUCCAGCUGGCCCAGGCCCUAGGUGAGUCUGUGUUUGAGAAGGGUCUCCGUGAGAAAGUGACCCAGGAGAACACCAGUGUCCGGUGGGAGCUAGGCCAGCUUCAGCAGCAGUUGAAGCAAAAGGAGCAGGAAGCCUCACAGCUGAAGCAGCAGGUGGAGAUGCUACAGGACCAUAAACGGGAGCUGCUGGGGUCACCCUCUCUGGGGGAAAAUUGCGUUGCUGGCUUGAAGGAGAGGCUGUGGAAGUUGGA